AAAAAAUUCUGAGAAAACUAGGAAGGAGAAAUACAACCAAUACGAAGCACAGCCAUGGUGAGGCCUACUAACUGAACCUCCACUUUUUCAUAUCGCAAUCACCUUUACUUUUUGUUAUUUAUUUUGCUACAGGCGGAAAUUUAGUCAGAGGUCGAUAUGAAUAUAUUCGUGCGUGUGUUUUGUGCAGGCAUUUUUUUUUUUUUUUAAAUUAAUUGGUGGGUUCUUGAUCAAUGUUCAGAUUUAUGUCACUUUAAGGUUAGAAAUGGUUUAAAAGGAAAGACCAUGGCUGGCUAAUAGAAGAAUUCUGGAAGGCUGUAAGUGAUAUCUUCUUUUCAUGUUUUGCCAUUCUUUUCAUGUAAGUAUACAAUCAAUGUGCAGUUUUGAAGUUAUCUGUUAAUUAUGAUAGUAUUAGAAGAUAAUUACUCUGAUUAAUUAUAAAUAAGUAUUAUGUUAUGUUGCUGCAGGACUGGUUGUGUAUUGCUCUAAAAGCUUUCAUUCAAAUAUGCUUUUUACAUCUUUAUUUAUUGUUAAUUUUAUUCUCAGUAAAUGGUGUUUAUCUUAAUUGGAUAUAUGAGUUCUACAUCUGGGUUUUUACAUCUGGGUUUUUGUGGUGAUGAACAUUCGAAACAUGGAAAUAAAAUCUUCAACCGUUAUCAGAUGAUGGUUUUGGCUGCAUUGUAGGUCAUAGAGUCUUUAGACAUUUAACAUCUACUUGAUUUUAAUUUAUUAACCCAUUUUCCAUUUGUUACAUUGAAUUGCACUGACAUAAAAUGAUUGCAUCACUUGUUUUGGUGUGAAUGCUGAUUCAUUUGACAGAAGAUGUCUGUUGUGAAAUAUCUAUAUUUUUACCUACGGUCCUACACAUGCAACAAAGUACUAUGGGAGUUGUGGCUUGUAUGUCGCCAUUCUCCUUUUCUAUCUCAGUUUCUCUCUGGGCUUCAUAUUAACUGUUAGGGUAAUGCUCAAAAGCUUGAGUUGCUUGAUUGAAGUCAUGUCGUCAUUUUCAGUAGCACCCUUUAAGGUGAAACUACUAGUGUGAGCUCUGUCAAGUCAUGUAUAACCUGCAUGUCAUAUUGUUACAGUUUCCCCCAUAAGCAAAUGAUACACAUCCAUUGGCACGAUGUCUCCAAACGUUGCGAUUCAUCAAGCUGUUCGACGAACUGAUAAGAUCUUGUUUGUCAACCAUUAACUCUGUCCACCUUUUCUAGCCUCAAAACUUAUAUGGUUUUGGAUGUCACUCGGUAGUUAACUCUAAUUUCUUCACCGUCUCUUCAAAAACCUCAUCAUAAAAUUGCCGAGGUCAAGUAUUGAACCGACACUUAAUCCCAACAUUGCACAUCGACUGGAUCAGAUUGUUAUGAAGUUGCUGGUAUCAUCACUAUAGACAUUCCUGUUUAUGAAAUGAAUCUUCGGAUCUUCUGAUAGCAAACAGGACAACUAAUUGGUCAUUGAUAACAAACUUUACCUUUUGGUGCAACGUAGAUGGGCCUUAUGGGGAAGGGCCUUGCUGUGUCUGUUUUGUCUUCCCUAAGGUCUAUUGCAUUGAAAGGUCAUCUCUGAACUACUAAAAAUGGCACCUUAUUGCCCUUUAACUGCUACCUGAAGUCUUGGCUUCAAUCUUCUCAUAAAAAACUAGUAGACUCCCACACAUAUCAUCGCCAACGUUUUAACGCACUAAGUUCUAUAACCCGAUGUGUUACUAUUUUUCAUUUCUUUUUUGCACCCACUGCCUUAACAUAGAUCCCACAAGAGGCUAGUGAAGAAGAAUGUGUUUAGUGCUUAGCCCAAAUCGUAAACAUCUCGAGUUAUGAACCAUAGCAUGCCAUGAAAUCUGAUUUUAAACUUUUAACCUAGGACAUGGAAAAAGUUCUAACUUUCAAUUUGCCCAAUUUGUCGCCAUAAAUUAUCUGAAGUACCAAACAACCAUGAAAAAAAUAUGAAACUUAUACAGUAAUCACAUAACUCAUCUACCAACAACAUAUCCAAAUUUAACGAUUUAUCAUCCGUUUAGUCAGUCAAAUUGAUCGACAAAGUCACAUGUCUACAAAUUUAUGGGUAAUAUUUUUGCAAUUCGUGAGAAUGACCAUAACUAAUUCUACGGUUGGCUGUCUCGGUUGACCAUUGCUUCUCCAACUGUAGUGUGCCUUGUUCCCUAUUGGUUCAACGGCGCCUCACAUGGCAAUGUGGUUACCUCCUGCUCCACACUCUAUAAUAUUAUUGAACCAAUAGGGAACAAAGCACACUCCUCACAUGGCAAUGUAUUGAGCCAAGACCAUAUCAGUUUGUUGCUUGAAUGUGUUACCUCCUUUCUGCAAGCUCUUCAUCCAUGGAUGAAUUGUGAUAUUUAGUAGUAUCAUUGGUGGCAUAUUGAUAAAUAACUCAAACUGUGCUCUAUAAGAGAUGAUGUGUGGAAGCAUACGAAGUAAACAAACAUGAGAUCAACUAAAUUGGUUGAUUCUCGAAUCUUAAUGGAUACUAUAAGUUGGAUUAGACAUGGAGAACACUGCAGAUCUUGUUACUUGAGUUAUAAAGUAAAUAUAGCUAAUCAAAUUGCUAAAGUAUGAAAUAAAAUAAGAUAGUUGUGAGCUCCCAAUGCCUCCUAGCCAUGCAGCACCUUCCUCUCCAUCUUUGGGUGGUCUAGUCUAUUCUCAAAUGUGUGGAUCACGUCUUUGGUUGCACCAAAUAUGUUGAUGAUUCUCUCCAAGUUCCUGUUAGUAGUAAUGAUAUGGACUAAUGGAGACGUCAAGGUUGUUUCUACUUUAGCAAUAUAUUACAACUUUUUUACUUGAUACCUAAUUUGAGAACUUAUUAUUUCCUACUUUUUUUAUAUUGCAAGUUCAACAAUAAAUUUUUGAUAAUUAAUUUUUAUGAUUGAUUUUCAAGGUGGUUUAUUGUAUAUUAUAGCCCUAUCUUUGUAUUUUAUGUUCUCUUAAAUCAUUUUAUUGGUUUCUUUCAAGGAUUGUGCCUCGUCUAAAAGAGGUAAAACUCCUUGGUCACGGAUUGAACCCUACAAGAGAUCAUUCGACAUUGUAUCCUCAAAUUGAUUUACACACUAUUAUAUUCUUCCAAGUUUUGCAUUCUCAAUUUUAUCUCAUUUUUUAUUCUCUAAGCUCCAAUUUAUUUUUAUUGUUUGUACAAGUCGAGUUUUAUAGAAAAUUGAAAAUCUUUCUUUCAGUUUCUUUUUCUUCAAAUGAAUUCUACAAAUCUUCAUCUCAUUAUUUUUACUCCAAUUAUGAUAAGAAAAAUUUUGGCAAGGCAAAGGGAUAGCUCAUGGAUUUACAUUUUCCUAUUAUUAAGAUUAAAAAAAUUGAAUGAUAUGACAAGCAAAGUAUUGGAUUUUUCUCCUUAUUGUUCUCUUAGAUUGCUUUCUGCAGUUUAUGAUCACCUUAUAUUCAUAAAGCUUUGUUAGAUUGGUUAUCGACUCCGGUGACACUGCUUUGAUAGGUUUUCUUGAGACUUGUUUGUGGCACUGUGCUAGGGGAUCUCCCUAAUUGUUGAUUGAGGUAUCCGACAUAGUUUUUAAUUCUUAGGAUGGGCACCAAUGUGGUGCCUUUCCUGCUACACUCCGACAAUUAAGUCGAUAAAUACUAAAGCCAAGAACUAAAGGAGUGCUGUUGCGUUUUUACUAUCGCAAAUGUAGAUAUCGAAUAAAUAGUAAGUGGACCUGUGAGUCCGGAUUGUCGUUCUCACAGGGACUACUUUAGAACUUAAUUUACUUUCUUUCUAACUACUAUUCGACAAAGCAGAUAAUGAUUUGUAUGUUUUGAAUUUUAAUUUAAAUGUGUAACAAUAUGUGCUUGCACACAAAGAUUGGUUCAGAAAUUAGAUAAUAAAUAAAUAUUAGGGCAGAAUAAUUUCACCUGUCGGUUACAUCUAAAUCUUAAAUCAAGAUUCACAAUCUAAUGUAGUGUUUGGUUGAAUUCUCCUAUUGUAUUCAAUUUACCCCUCUCGAGUUCUCAUUGGGUCUAUUUAACUAAUUCAAUUCCAAAUCUCUAUGCGAAUCAAGCUUAGUUAAACGAAUUCUUUGUUCUAGAAAUUCACUUGUGAUCGCAAUAAUUAGUAUAUGUAUUUUUACACGUUAUAUCAAUUUACCGAAUUUACUAUAUGAUCUAAAUCCUAAACCCAUCUCUCGUUUUGUAAAAGAUUCUCAAAAUCAUCAAAUUAGUGACCAAGUAAUUUAAUGCAUCGAACUCAUAGUGAAAUCAACACAUGAAAAAAAUAAAGAACACGAAUCUUAAUUAAAAAACAUAAAGGAUCCCUAGAAGGUUACAUUAUUCGCCCUAACAAAAAUUUUAGCUACUCAUAAUGAAAGAGAAAAAACAAUAAAUUAUCAUAGAAUACAUCACCGGAUUUUUAGUAUAUAUGUAGAAGAAAAAUUCAAUCUUGCACCAAAAUCAUCUUUCUCUUCCAAUCAAUCCUUCAAAUGAUGCAUUGCUUGUUGUUUUCAUCCCUUGAAUUGCUUCUUUAAAUCUUAAAAUGUGUUUCUUGCCCCCCAUUGUGUGCCAAAUCCCCUUGAAAGCAUGAAAAUUUUGUAUUUAUAAUUGUCCUCUCGUGCGUAGAAAAUAGGGUUUUUAUAGACUUCAAAACGGGUCAAAAUUUAUGCCCUAGUUACUCCGCGGUGACGCAGCGGUGCCCAAUGUGCGGCGUUGUAGCAUCGCGCUAUUUUUUGUUGGAAGCUUGUUUCUCUUGGCGCUGCAGCGUCCAGAGCAUGGCGUCACAGCUCGUGGUGCCAAACCUAUCUCUAGCUUCUUUUUUCCGUGGCGCUUUACCGCCACUAUUUCAGUGUCGAAACGUCACUCGUCCAAUCUGUAUUGUGCUUCGCCUCCUUUGCCCUUUUAUCCAAAAUUUCUUUUCGAUCCAUGCCAAUAACUUUAUUUGAUGAAUUUUUUCCAUUUCUUUCACCAUCUCGACAAUCCUAUAAAAGAACACUAAUAAACACAUAAAAAAUGUUCAAUACUCGCAAAAUCUAGCUUACAAUCAAGUUAAAAAUAACAUAAACUCAUGAUUAAAUCACACUCAUCUAGUGCCUAGCCACUUGCUAAUCUAAUUUGCUAUUCCUACUUGUUCGAGAGGUUUGUGGUCAAUCAAACUUGAUUUACUAUGAUACCAAAUAUAACUUUUUCUUUGAGCCUUAACUUGGUUAUCUUGUUUUUUCCCUUUACAUGGACAUCCUUUUCAAUGUUCAAACUGUUUUUGUCCAAUUACAUGUAUUAAACAUUCAAUUCACCUACAUGUUUACAUUGUAGCUUUUGGUUGUCAUUGGCUGCUAUGAAUAUCUUUGGAUUUGGCCUCAGACGUAGUUCCUACUUAUAAAAUUUGAGAUGUUCUUACUCCUAAAAGUUCUCUGACUCUAUUUUUAUCUAGGAUUGCAUCUCAGAGAACCAAGUUUCAAUCAUAUACCUAUAGCUGGUAAGAUUCUGCUUCCUUUUUUAAUAGAACAUCCUUCAUCACAUCCUGUGUGAUUAAUACAGCCUCAGUCACAUGCAUCUUUCUUUAUUCGUCUCUUGUUACUGUAAUAAUAUGUCGGCCCUCUGGUGGACAGAAAUUGGGUUAUGUUGCAGCCAAAAUCUGUCAAUGGGUGCCAUUUCAAUUGACCUUGGCGGUCUUGAAAAAUAAUGUGCCUGCAAAACAUACAUUUGACUGGAAAAAAUAGGAGCUUGUAUUUUGUAAGUGAAUUUGAUGGAGAGGAGUGGUAAAUCCGUUAUCUCUUAAUGGAUAAGUUUAUCUUCUUAUUUGGGUGAGAUAGUGAGAAGCCAUAUUUUAUUAUAACAGGUUGCAAGUGCACAAUAUCUUGAAUCUUUUUAUUCUACCACAGCCACUAUUAGUCUAUCCACCAUAGUUUUCGUGUGUGCCUAUUGUUUAUUGGGUUUUGUUAAGGUGCUCUAGAAAAUAAGUUACUAUUAGAUAUCUAAGCCCUGUUGAUGUUUGUUUAAUAACUCUUUUAAUAGCGCACUGGGAGGUGAGGGUUCAGAGGGUUCAGUUGUAGUGCCUCAUGGCCUACCAUUCUAUUAAAUAUGCUGAGGGAAAAAAAUUCAAAUUAUCGCUUAAAAGAUCGACCUUUUUAAGUGUAGUUUAAGCACUUAUAUGUUGAUUAUUGUUUUUACAUUUAGAAUUGUGAGAUUUUACCCUUAAUAUAUCCAACAAGAUGGCAGCUUGUUUGGAUUCAUCAUUCCUGGAAUCCAAAUGUCACUCUUUUGAGCUUUUUAAACUGUGAUUUUAUCGAGUCGUGAGUUCCAUCUUAAAAUAUCAAUAUUUUCACGAGAAAUAUCUUAAUCCUUAUAUGUUGAUUGUUUUUUUAUAUUUAGGUUUUGUGGGAGCUUACCUUCACAUCGAGGAAUUGAUCAUAAAUUUUUUCAAGCUGAAGUAUUGGAGAUGAUGUAGCUAUUUAAGGUAAUCUUUUCACAUUUGUAAUGUAGAACCGCUACUAAACAAUUUGUUUAUAGUUAUAUAUCUAGAAUUAGUUACAUGAAGUUUAUAUUACCCUUCUACUUUAUGCUUAAACAUUGCAAGCGCUGUUGGUAAAGUAUGAACAAAUUAUUACAUUGGCUAGACAUGAGUAGAUAAUAUUUUUAUAAAGGGAGUUAGACUGACAUGCAUAGUAGGUUAAAAUUUUCGGAACACAAAUCACCAAGUGAUGUUAAGGUUAGGCUCCAAACUUAGCCAUGUGGCACAAUAUGGCGAAAUAUUAGUGGUUGGCUCUCAAGACAGUAGUACUCACAUAAGGUGGUGACCAUUCAUGUAAUGGAGAGUUGGGCAUGAUGGAACCUGCGAUUCAUCUUGGUUUGAAGAAGAGAGACAUAUAGAUUAAUGGUUGAUGAGGGUAGAUAUGAUGUGGUCUUUCAUUCUGAGGAGGGAUUUUUGUGAUAGUGAGAACAAAAUAUCACGUUGGCUAGACAUGGAAUGGAUAAUUUUACGAGGAAGUUGAGCUAAUCCUUCUAAUCGGUUAACCUUUGAGAUGGAAUCUCACUACUGAACAAUAGUUCAUGAUUGAAUAAUUAUUGUAUAUUCGCUUUUUUUUGUAUUCUAUUUUUUCUUCCAUUCCUUUGUGUAUAAAAAAGGAGCUAAAAAGGUGAAAGAAUGGGAAAAUACAGAGAGAAUCGGACUCUCUUUUCUUUUGUGUUCUGUAAAAAACUGAUUGAUGUUUGUACAUUGAUUCUGUUUAUAGAAUUAGCUAUCAAAUUGCCAACUACAACUAACUGCUAACUAAUAGCUGUAACUAUUUAUUCCAGCUCAUCUUUUCUAACUAACUUCAACUGCCUGUAACUACAGCUUCAACUUUAGUUUUUGUUUCAGCUUCAGCCACCGAUUUUGCUUCAACAAGUUGUUGAGUUGUAAUAUCACCCUUCAAGAUGGACUUGUGCAAAUCAAUGAUUCCCAUCUUGUUAAGUAAGAAAGAAAACUGAUCUGCUCCCAAAGCUUUAGUCAGAAUAUCUGCCAGUUGGCGUUUAGAGGAAACAUAAACUGUUUUAAUCAACCCCUUCUGUAAUUUUUCUCUCACAAUGUGACAAUCUAUAUCUAUAUGUUUCGUCCUCUCAUGGAAAACUGGAUUGGAGGCUACAGGCAAGGCUGCUUUAUUGUCACAAUACAUUAAUGCAGGCUUUAAAUGGUCCACACCAUGGUCAUUGAGUAUUCUAAUAGUCAAAUCACUUCACAGCAGGUGGUAGCCAUUGCUCUAUAUUCGGCUUCAGCUGAUGACCUUGACACUGUUGUUUGCUUUUUAGAUUUCCAUGAAAUCAACGCUUCUACAAGAAAAACACAGUACCAUAUUACAGAUUGCCUGCUAUCUAUACAUCCUGCCCAGUUUGCAUCGCAAAAAGCCUUUAAUUGCAGAUCAAAUGUGCUUGACAGAAAAAUUCCUUGUGUUGGUGUAUGCUUAAUAUAUCUCAGAAUUCUGUGCACUGCAUCCAAGUGAGGCUUUCUUGGUGCUUGCAUAAACUGGCUAAGUGUCUGAACAACAAAUGCGAAAUCAGGUCUCGUGAUGGUUAGGUAUAUUAGCCUACCAAUUAGUCUUCGAUAUUCUGUAGGAUUGGCUAAUAACUGCCCCUCCUCACGAGACAAUUUCAAAUUUUGUUCCAUAGGAAAAUUGGAAUGACCAGCUCCAGUAAGACUCGAAUCUUGCAGUACAUCAAGUGCAUGCUUGCUUUGUGAAAUAGAAAAUCCUGCAGAAGAUCGAGCAAUUUUCAAGCCUAGAAAAUACUAGAUAGUGUGCCAAGAUUUUUAAUUUUAGAAGUUGAGUGCAGAUAGACUUUGAGAGCAUCAAUGCAAACCAGAUCGGGACUUGCAACAACUAUGUCAUCUACAUAAACUAGCAACACAUGAAUGUGGUAGAGUUUUGUAAAGCGAAUACGGUAUGAUCAUGUUGGGACUGAGUAAAACCAUAACUUAGGACACUUUGUGAGUAAAUUUGAGAUUCCACUAUCUAGAUACCUGCCGUAGGCCGUAAAGUGACCUUUCAAGUCUACAAACUGAAUUAGGAAGAAAUGAAGAGUAACCAGGUGGUAGAUUCAUGAAGACUUUCUCAUCUAAUUUACCAUUUAAAAAAGCACUAUCAACAUCGAGCUGAUGCACAUGCCAAUUUCAAGCAGUAGAGACAGCUAGUAAUGUUCUCACAGUUACUAGCUUGGCAAAAGGUGAAAAAGUGAUUGAAAAAUCCAACCUGUCAAUUUGAGUGUAGCCUUAGCAUAUAACGUUCCACUGUCCCAUUAGAUUGAAUUAGAUCUUAUAUAUCCAUCGACAACCAACAGAUUUCUUACCAGGAGGUAAGGUAAUUAAUUCCCAAGUCUGAUUCGCUUCAAGGGUGUCUAUCUCAACUUGCAUAGCCUUUCUCCAAUGCUCAAAUUUUACAGCUUGUUAGUAGUGUGUGGGCUCAAAGGUCGUAGAAACUGAGAGGCUAAAUGAUGCGGACAUCAUCCUCAUUUUAUCUUUUAGUUAUUUAUUUUGGGCUUAUGUCUUUUACUUAUUUAUUUUGGGCUUAUGUCUCAUUAGGCUUGUAUAUGGGUUUGGCCCAAGCCCCCAAGUUAUUGUUUUGUUAUUUAUGUUAUUGUGAUUGGGAUUGAAAGUUAGUAGAUGAUGAAUGAAUGAAUUGUUGCCUUCCACUCCUCUGUCUUCUCUCUUCCCCCUCUUUCUUCUUUCACGUUUUCCCUUCUCUUUCCCCGGCUUCUUCCUCUUCUGCUGUUUCUUCCUACAUCAGAUUUUGGUAUCAGAGCUAAUGCUUGGGAACUACUUUAUCUACACAGACAAUUUCUGUAUACACACCAAUCUGCCGCACUGUCCACCAUUCAUGCCUCAGCGUCCAACAACAAAUCCGACUUGCAAAUAGUUUCCUCACCAUCUUUUCCACCGCCACCAAGUUCUCUAAAUCUGUAACAAAUCUAGGCAGCCUCCUAACAUAACAAAUCCAUCCCUGCAAACCACCCUAGAAAAACCAGACACCCCCAAAUACAUGCACAACAUCCCAAUCAAACAAGGUAACCAUUAAACCACCACAUACAAAAUAACCGCCCACAAUCAUUUAAAUCGUAAUAACCCACCUCACAGUCAACCCCCAAAAGCUCGUUUUCACAAACAAUAACCACCUCUCAAGCAAUGAUUCGACCCCAAGCUUCCGAACAACGCCCAACAGCCUAUUCCUCAUAAGUCCAUCAUCUAAAACCGUCGCCUUUCAAUAACCCACCACCAUACGAUUAUCUCAUACAGUUAGCCCAUCCUCCGAAUUAUCACCUCACAAUUUAUACUCACGAAGCCACCAAAUCAACAGCCCAUUAAGCUCUAAUCAUACAAUACCCAUAAUCCAAACUCAAUCGCGAAUUCACCGUCGAAGAAGCCGGCCACUGCUGCUAGAAAUCGGCCCUCUAUUGACGCAGGAACCAUUCCUUUCCAUAGCCGAUGCACAAUCCACAUUGCAGAUCACCACUCUAGUCACCAACCCAUCGCACCGACUGAAUCACACAAAAAAAACUGACACCAACCGCUGGUCACCUUCACAGCGACGAAGCCUAUAAUCACUGCAGCCUCCAUUCAACCCCAGAUCUCCUGCCGAUUGCUGAAUGCAGAACUGCCGAGCGGUUUAGACAGUGGAAGUGGGUAUUUAAUUCAAUUGGACACAGUAGACUAAUUAGUAGUUUUGGGUAUCUUAUUAAUGUUUGGGCCUUGAAUUGUAACAGUUUUGCUUAUCUGAUUUUUAAGUUAAAAAAAAAAUAAAAAAAAGAGUUAUUUUUCUAACAUCGUUUUUCAGGUGCCUCUUUCAUUCCAGUUGAUUGGACGCAGCUUCUUCGAAUGAACGAAAGGAAAGUCAUUGUUUAAAUUUAUCCUCAGUUAUAUUGCUGUUUAUCUUGAAUUGCAUCGAUUAACUUUUGUGCUGUAGUCUUUACAUAAAACUCACAUGACUAGACCCUAUAUCUGUUAACUCUUCGACUUGUUAUAUUUUCGCAUU
Molecule: long non-coding RNA, 10432 nt
Filed under: Olea europaea (common olive)
Lineage: Eukaryota; Viridiplantae; Streptophyta; Magnoliopsida; Lamiales; Oleaceae
Description: long non-coding RNA (OEUR_LNC009469)
Source: RNAcentral